AGCAACACCACUGUUGUAAAAUGUGAUCACGGUCCCCUCAAACAUGAAUGUAACAUUCACAAAUCAAUUUGUUCAAGCGCAGGCUCCAGGUGGGGGUCAACCUGUGCUUCAACAGCCUCAGGGUCAUCUCAGAUCACCUCAGGGUCAGCAUGGACAAAUCUUUUCUCAAGCUCCAAAGCAGAACCAGUACGUAUUUACUCAACCUCAAGGACAGACCAUUAUUGCUCCCUCUCAAGUCCGCCCAAUUUCAGCAAAUGCUCAAGAACAAAUUUUAUUUGCUCAAGAAGGACUAAAAAAUUCCGUCUUAUUCCAAUCUGCAGAGCAACCCCAACUCCAAUACAUUUCAACACAAGGUUACAACCAAUCAGUUUUCCAAGUCCAAGGACAAGAUCCCAAUCACCCCGUCUUUGUUCAAACCCAAGGACAUGAUCCAAAACAACCAUUCUUUGUCCAAAACCAAGGGCAUAAUCAAAAUCAACCCGUCUUUGUUCAAACCCAAGGACAUGAUCCAAAACACCCAUUCUUUGUCCAAAACCAAGGGCAUAAUCAAAAUCAACCCGUCUUUGUUCAAACCCAAGGACGUAAUCCCAAUCAACCUGUCCUUGAUCAAUCUCAAGGAUAUGUUGGUCCCAUUUUUGAUCCAUCACAAAGACAAUACAUACAAGGACAAAGAAAUAUGGACAUUGACAUUGCUCAAAAUAAAAACUGUUACAGUCAGUAUUCAUCUUUAUCUCCAUUCCAGCAUAUUUCCUAUCUUCCCAAUCAACAUAUUGCUCAAGAUGGUGGAGUUGUUAGCGGACAGGCACCAAUCCCUGGUCCUAAAAUGGUUAACACCUCCCAUUCCAACAUGUUACAGAACUCAGCCUUGCAACCAUACACUUACCAGUCUGAAGACUUCACAGGCAAAAUUGCCGAGGUAAAUUCAAAUUCAGAAUCUGGCAUAGCUGACCAUAGUUCACAUGAAGUUAAGGGAACAGGUGUCCUGGUAUCUUCAUCUUCAAAUAAUUCUCAAUAUCAGAUUUUUUAUCAGAAUCCUGGCACAGUACAAUUUGCUCCGGAGAAUCAAUCCUUUCCAAACCUGAUUCAGAAGAACCAUGAUCCUCUUAGUCAUUCCAUUUCCUCAUCUGCGGUGCCAUCUCUAACCCAAAGUUAUCUAUCAGUGUCUCACCACGCAUCCCAGUUAAAUGUUGAGUCUAACUAUACCCAGAGCCAGGUUCAAACUGUUCCAAUACAGCAUCAUUCUUCUAACUCCUACCAACCUUCAGUCUCUAGUUCAAAUCCUGUAAAUAAAACUGGUACUAGUACAGAUAAUUUUCAAACCAGAGCUAAACUGUAUACACAUGUAGCCAUCCAAAACUCUUUGCAACAAACCUCUUACAAUGGAGCUCUCUAUCCAUCCAAUCCUUUUAAUGCUCCAGGAGUCGGGCAUAAAUAUCAUUUGGAACAGGGUCAAUCUUUGCGUGAAGCUCAAUGCAGUUCCAGUGGGGAGUUGAACCCUGAGACCUCUUUGUCUUAUGAGAGAACCUAUUCUUUACCUCAAUAUGUUCCAGCUCAUAAUUCUCUGGUUUCAGCUCAGGUAUCGACUCUUCCCUUUUCCAAUCCUGAUCCAAGUUCUCCCAGGCUACAAAGUUAUGUGGAUAUCAAUCAUCCUCUUCUUCCAAGCUAUAUUUUAAAUCAACCUAAAUCAUCUGAUACUCAGCAGUUGUCUCUAACUCCAACGCCCAGUGAUAAUCAAGUACCUGUCAAUCAAUCAAUCAACGACUCCCAUGAGGAUUCUGAAGCAUACUCUGCUGAGGAGUCCCCAGGCUACCAAUCUGAAGACUCAGGUCCAGUCUCUGAAUUACCUGAUGAAAAGGAUGAUAACGAAACAGAAGGGAUUCCCUACCCUUCUCAAGAUGUCAUUGAACCUUCUUCGCCUUCCAGUCUCAGAAGAGCAUUUGAAGAAAGAUCCCAAAGCUAUUUCAUGUCAGAACAUCAAGAAGGGCAUUAUUCUCUUGCUUCUUCAUCAAGAAAUCCAUCCGAAGAAUCUGAUCUUGUUGAUGCUGAUAACGCAAAUACCAUUCAUGCUAACACUGGCAAUGACCAAGAAGCUGCUUCAAGCAAUCUUCAAGAACCCAACACUACUCAAGAAGUUGUCUCCGAAAAUAUCCAGCAACGUGGAUCAGACAAUUUACCUGAAAUUCCAAUCCAAAGUGCUGUCAUGGAUAUUCCUGAUCUCAGACAAGAGUUUCUUAACAACCAGAUGCUGCCUCUACCUGGACAAUUUGUUGUUCUGCCACCUCUAACAGAAGACCGUAGUAUUCAAACUAUCCAGCUUCUCACACCUACACAACAAGGACAGUUCUCUGUACAAACUAUAGUGUUACCAAUCAUGAAGUUAAAUCAAACUUCCUCUACUCCAACCCUGAAACCGUCCUAUCCUUCUCCGGUUUUACCAUCUCCUUCCUCCAACCCUUCUUCCUCAGAUACACCUGUACCUGUCUCCUGCCAGACAAAUCAGUUCUAUCCUCCAACUAAACCUCAAUUGACUGUUAAAGCAGAACGGGAUUUUUCUGAUCCGUUUGUUAUCAGGUCAGAUGACGACGAUGUUCUGCUGAACCAAGUUGAUGAGACCGGAUUACCGAAGGUUAUGCAAGGAAUUGAUCUUGAUCGUGUUAAACAGUUUGCUGCUGAGUUCAAGUCUGUAAGACUUAGUUUAGGAUUAACACAGACACAGGUUGGUUUAGCACUGCAGCCUGGUGUGGAUGGUCCAGUAGUAUCCCAGUCUACCAUCUGUAGGUUCGAGAAACUAGAGAUUACUGCUCUGCAGGUAAAGAAACUGUUGCCAAUUCUGCAGAGUUGGUUGUGUAAUAUCAAGCAGAAACAAAGCCUGGGAAUACCAAUAGAUAUUUCAUCUUCUCAUCACAUUCCUCAGGACGGACAGGAGCAAAAGCGAAGAAAAAAAAGAACAGUAUUCUCGGAAGAGACUGUAUCAGUUCUUAACCAGGAGUUCUCGUCAGACCAGAACCCUAACCUUGCAAAGAUUAUACAAAUUGCAGCCAAGGUUGGGUUGGAGAAGAGCACGGUUCGGGUUUGGUUCUCCAAUAGGAGACAAACAGAGCGUAAACUCCAACAGGAGCUAGAAGGGGGAGGAGAGUUGGAUCGGAAACAAAACUACGAUAAAGACGAAGUAUUUUCAACUUAUAAAAAUACAAAUAGCAACAGUUAGGAAAAUGGAAAGACUGAUUUUCUGAAUUCUAAACCUAUUAUGAACCAAUUUUGAAACAAUUCCACGUUUUUUGCAUGCCAUUUUCUGAACUGGUUGGAUAUAAAAUAUUCAGACCCUUUUUUAUUUAUCAGACCAAAGUUUCUAAACUUCCUUGAUUGUUUUUAAUUGUUAAGGAAUCGGGCAAAGCCCAUUAAAAAUAUGUGUCCUUAUAUCUCAAAAUGAAUCACUAAGAACUUAACAAAUGUGUCAUAGGCGCGGCAUAACCUAACUUGCGCUUGUAAAAUAUUAUUUGAUCUUAAAUGUGCUGUCGCGGUCGUUGUAAUUUUAUGGUACCCUUAAAACUUUUUGUAUGAGCGUGUUUAAUUUUAUCAAGUUCUUCCAUUGUCUCUUAAGCAGGAAUGUGCAAGUUACUUAAAAAAUGAAACCACACAAAAAAAUCAACUAUUAAAGUUAAAUGAUGGAUUAAUACAUUCUUGUUCAGAGAAAGCUUUCAAGGGUUCUUAUGUAAAUCGGACAUGCCACUUUAAAAAUGGAGGGUCAAUAAAAGUUAUGUUUACGUCUAAACCUUCUUAAUGUAACUUUGUAAUGUAUUUCUGUACUGUACCAAUUUUACACUUUGUACAUAUUGAGUUGAUAGAUCUAAUCUAUUUCUGUUAUUAAAGUUAACUUGUUAAUUUAUAACGUGCUAACUUAACAUUACAAAAGAAAACAGUUUGUGCUGUAAAGAACAUUUAACACCUUACAACUAAAAAAACAAUUUGUGCAACGAUUGACCCUAAAACUUGCACAAUGGGUUUUUCAAGACAAAGGUAUUUGUGCUUAUGUUUUUUUCCACUUUUAAAGUUAAUUCUGUUAAAUCAGGCAUGUAUUAUUGUUUUUUCCGCAGCCUUUGCCCAAAAUUCGUUUUGUACAAAGCACUGUACUAUAAACAAACGUUAAAUUGUCGAGCUUUUAUCAGUAUAAAAUAUUGGUGUAAUUAUAUCCCAACGAUUAAAAUUAUUUUGAAUACAUUUUAUAUCAUUUUUUAGAUCUCAACGAAACAUUUUGUUCUCUAUUUUCUUAAAAAGAUUUUUUUGGCGUUUUAAACAAAAUUUACAUUGAUGGAAAUCCAGGAUUUAAAUGAUGUUUAAGAAUUGUAAAUAUUAAGAUGUAAAUAUGUAGAUUACAAAUAUUAAAACAUCUAUUGAUGAAUUUUUGUAAAAUAUUGAAACAAAAAUAUGUAAACAUGUGAGCAAGCAAACAAAACAUGUUUGUAUGCCUGGACAACUUUAAACUUGUAAACUUGUUUGUAUAUUUGUAAACAUGUAAACCUAUGAACCUGUAAACUGUAAACUACCUGGUGAAAUGUACUUGAAUAUAUAGCGUUAAUUUA
RNAcentral lists this unclassified non-coding RNA (4580 nucleotides) under Eurytemora carolleeae. Its description in RNAcentral is "uncharacterized LOC111705844". The record is from RNAcentral. Lineage: Eukaryota; Metazoa; Arthropoda; Copepoda; Calanoida; Temoridae.